Molecule: long non-coding RNA, 752 nt
Organism: Gossypium arboreum
Lineage: Eukaryota; Viridiplantae; Streptophyta; Magnoliopsida; Malvales; Malvaceae
Exons: 3
Source: RefSeq, a predicted model, not a curated record
CACAGGCGUACUGGUGGUGAUAAGGUUUACAAUGUUUUCGACAACCAACUUCCUGCUGCUUUGAAAAGGUUGCAAUUUGACAGACAACUAUUAAUGGAGAAUUUAGGAAGCUCAUUACUGAAGCUGAUGGCUAUCAACUACAUUUAAUAGCUCCUGAACAAGGAUAUCAUCGUUUGACUGAAUCUAUUUUAGUUACUAUCAGAGGUCCACCUGAGGCUGCUGUUGAUGCGACUCAUUCCAUUCUGAAGGAUCUGGUUCACAAGGCUAUGAGUAAAACUCCAACGUCAGGGGAUUUUCAAGGAAACAACAGACCACCUGUAUAAUGCAGCCACUCAGGAGCGGGAAACUACUUUGAAUCAGCUACUAAUAGAGCUUGAUGGGUUUGAUACUGGCAAGGUGUUAUAUUUUCGGCUGCUACAAAUCGUAGAGAUUUGUUAGAUCCUGCACUUCUCAGGCAAGGUCGUUUUGAUCGCGAGGUUAAUUUCCAUCACUUGAAUAGCAGAUCUAAUUAGGUAAUAUAUCUCAUCAAUACAAAAAUAUAGUCGAAUCACUUUAUCACCCAUCACUUGAUCUAAUUAGUUAAUAGCAGAUCUAAUUAGUUAAUUUCCAUCACUUGAAUAGCAAAUUUUAUUAUAUUACAUUUUUUAGUAUUAAAUUUUUCAUGAAAUUAUAAUAAUUUAAUAAAAUCAUUUUUUACUCAUCGAUUAUCAUAAUGUAUUUAGUUAAACAAUCAGUAAAUAUUAAAAUGAUAA